UACGUAGGGGGCAAGCGUUGUCCGGAUUUAUUGGGCGUAAAGAGCGUGUAGGCGGCCCGGUAGGUCAGCUGUGAAAACUCGAGGCUCAACCUCGAGACGCCGGUUGAAACCAUCUGGCUAGAGUCCGGAAGAGGAGAGUGGAAUUCCUGGUGUAGCGGUGAAAUGCGCAGAUAUCGGGAAGAACACCCGUGGCGAAGGCGGCUCGCUGGGACGGUACUGACGCUGAGACGCGAAAGCGUGGGGAGCGAACAGG
Molecule: ribosomal RNA, 253 nt
Filed under: uncultured bacterium
Lineage: Bacteria
Description: partial 16S ribosomal RNA
Rfam family: Bacterial small subunit ribosomal RNA
Source: RNAcentral